UUUUAUGAGAGUUUGAUCCUGGCUCAGGACGAACGCUGGCGGCGUGCCUAAUACAUGCAAGUCGAACGCUUCUUUUUCCACCGGAGCUUGCUCCACCGGAAAAAGAGGAGUGGCGAACGGGUGAGUAACACGUGGGUAACCUGCCCAUCAGAAGGGGAUAACACUUGGAAACAGGUGCUAAUACCGUAUAACAAUCAAAACCGCAUGGUUUUGAUUUGAAAGGCGCUUUCGGGUGUCGCUGAUGGAUGGACCCGCGGUGCAUUAGCU
RNAcentral lists this ribosomal RNA (267 nucleotides) under Enterococcus faecium. RNAcentral's name for it is "partial 16S ribosomal RNA". It matches the Rfam family "Bacterial small subunit ribosomal RNA", at positions 1 to 246 of the family's 1533-position model. Lineage: Bacteria; Bacillati; Bacillota; Bacilli; Lactobacillales; Enterococcaceae. The record is from RNAcentral.